GGUGGAGAAGAGGUGGAGGCUGACAGAAGAGAGUGAGCACACAUGGUGCCUUUCUUGCAUGAUGAACGAUCGAGAGGUUCAUGCUCGAAGCUAUGCGUGCUCACUUCUCUCUCUGUCAGCCGUUAGAACUCUCUCUC
Molecule: microRNA precursor, 137 nt
Filed under: Saccharum officinarum (sugarcane)
Lineage: Eukaryota; Viridiplantae; Streptophyta; Magnoliopsida; Poales; Poaceae
Description: miR156 stem-loop (sof-MIR156)
Gene: sof-MIR156
Rfam family: mir-156 microRNA precursor family (bases 20-119)
About the family: This family represents the plant microRNA (miRNA) precursor mir-156.
Source: miRBase by way of RNAcentral